Molecule: ribosomal RNA, 684 nt
Filed under: Triticum aestivum (bread wheat)
Lineage: Eukaryota; Viridiplantae; Streptophyta; Magnoliopsida; Poales; Poaceae
Description: partial small subunit ribosomal RNA
Source: RNAcentral
AUGAUGACGGUGAGUGGCGGCGGCGACUGCGGUGGGCCUGCCGGUGGCGGAGACGACAGACCACCGGAGGCAGAUCUCUGCGGCAGCUCAAACCCCGGCGCCCCUUCGGACAGCAGCCCCAACCCCAGCCCCCGGCACUCACUUGAGUUCGCGGCGGCUAGAUCUUGGGCCAGGGCAGUGAAGGCGGAUCCGACGGAAAGCCACCGGUGGGGCUCUUCAUUCGGCGGCGUCUAUUUGGACGAUGUUGUUUGGGAAGUUAGAAUGCACUUCCAUGAAAGAGACAACUUGAAGAGAUCCCUCUGCAUCUCAGACAUCACAUAUCACAAUUUGGUAGCAUUAAUAGAGACAGAGGGCUAUGGGCUGAAUGAUUACAUUUACUUUGUGAGGGAGCCUGGUGUGGGUAUUGAAGGAUUGGUAGAAAUUUCUGAUGAUGACAAGGUGGAUGAAAUGCUUGACCAUAUUGCUAAUAAGGAUCGGAAUGUAGUGAAUUUGACAGUGAUUAGGGCCACUCAUCCAAGACCUGCAGAUUUGAAUUCAGGAUAUUUGUAUGAGGAGCAGGUUCCUUUGAGUCAAUUAGGAGAAAAACAUGUCUAUGAAGUCAAUCCUUCUGGAGUUCUAUUCAAAUCACCUGAGAAAUCAAAUAAACAGAGGCAGUCAGAGCCACUUCAGUUCUUUUCCACAUAG